Molecule: ribosomal RNA, 119 nt
Filed under: Pteropus alecto (black flying fox)
Lineage: Eukaryota; Metazoa; Chordata; Mammalia; Chiroptera; Pteropodidae
Source: RNAcentral
GUCUAUGGACAUGCCAUCUUGAACAUGUCCGAUCCUGUCUGAUCUUGGAAGGUAAGCAGGGUCGGGCCUGGCUAGUACUUGGUUGGGAGACCACCUAGGAAGACCAGGUGCUGUAGGCU